This 89-nucleotide transfer RNA is filed under the name Ixodes scapularis (black-legged tick). It matches the Rfam family "tRNA". Rfam says of the family: Transfer RNA (tRNA) molecules are approximately 80 nucleotides in length. The record is from Rfam by way of RNAcentral. Lineage: Eukaryota; Metazoa; Arthropoda; Arachnida; Ixodida; Ixodidae.
CCGUCGAUAGCUCAGUUGGUAGAGCGGUGGACUGUAGAUGAGUACUUGCUGACAUCCAUAGGUCGCUGGUUCGAAUCCGGCUCGACGGA